GAUGAAGAACGUAGCGAAAUGCGAUAAGUAAUGUGAAUUGCAGAACUCAGUGAAUCAUCGAAUCUUUGAACGCAUCUUGCGCUCCUUGGUAUUCUGAGGAGCAUGCCUGUUUGAGUGUCAUUAAAUUCUCAACUACACUGACUUUGAAUUGGUGUGGCUUGGAUUUGGGGGGAAAAUUGUUGUGGGCUUUUUGUAUAGUCUGCUCCCCUGAAAUUGAUUAGCGGUACCUUUGUGGAACUGUCUACAGGUGUGAUAAUUAUCUACAUCUUAGACAUCUGCUGGAAUGCUGCUUUCUAAACCUUACUUGUAUUGACAAUCUUGACCUCAAAUCAGGUAGGACUACCCGCUGAACUUAAGCAUAUCAAUAAGCGGAGGA
RNAcentral lists this unclassified non-coding RNA (376 nucleotides) under soil metagenome. Its description in RNAcentral is "partial contains 5.8S ribosomal RNA, internal transcribed spacer 2, and large subunit ribosomal RNA". The stretch from base 1 to 120 matches the Rfam family "5.8S ribosomal RNA", at positions 35 to 154 of the family's 154-position model. The record is from RNAcentral.